AAUUAGAGACCGGCGCACGGGUGCGUAACGCGUAUGCAAUCUACCUUCACAGAGGGAUAGCCCAGAGAAAUUUGGAUUAAUACCUCAUAGUAUAGCAGUUUCGCAUGAAACCACUAUUAAAGUCACAACGGUGAAAGAUGAGCAUGCGUCCCAUUAGCUAGUUGGUAAGGUAACGGCUUACCAAGGCAACGAUGGGUAGGGGUCCUGAGAGGGAGAUCCCCCACACUGGUACUGAGACACGGACCAGACUCCUACGGGAGGCAGCAGUGAGGAAUAUUGGACAAUGGGCGCAAGCCUGAUCCAGCCAUGCCGCGUGCAGGAUGACGGUCCUAUGGAUUGUAAACUGCUUUUAUACAGGAAGAAACACUACUUCGUGAAGUAGCUUGACGGUACUGUAAGAAUAAGGACCGGCUAACUCCGUG
RNAcentral lists this ribosomal RNA (422 nucleotides) under uncultured bacterium. RNAcentral describes it as "bacterial SSU rRNA". It matches the Rfam family "Bacterial small subunit ribosomal RNA", at positions 86 to 507 of the family's 1533-position model. The record is from RNAcentral.